This 1381-nucleotide ribosomal RNA is filed under the name uncultured organism. RNAcentral's name for it is "bacterial SSU rRNA". It matches the Rfam family "Bacterial small subunit ribosomal RNA", at positions 97 to 1451 of the family's 1533-position model. The record is from RNAcentral.
GGCGAAAGGGUGAGUAAUAAAUGGAUAACCUACCCUCCAGAUCGGGAUAAUCCAUCGAAAGGUGGGGUAAUACCGGAUGGUCUGGCAGUCUUAUCAGUCUGUCAGUAAAGGUUGCUUCGGCAUCUGCUGGAGGAGGGGUUCAUUUCCUAUUAGCUUGUUGGUAAGGUAAUGGCUUACCAAGGCAUAGAUGGGUAGGGGGCCUUAGCGGGUGAUCCCCCACACUGGGACUGAGACACUGCCCAGGUUCCUACGGGAGGCUGCAAUCGAGAAUCCUCCGCAAUGGGCGAAAGCCUGACGGGGCGACGCCGCGUGGACGAUGAAGGCCUAUCAGGUUGUAAAGUCCUAACAGGGAGUAUGGAAAUCGGCGGGUCCAAUAGGCCCGUUGAUUGACGUCAAUCCCAGAUGAAGUCACGGCUAAAUAUGUGCCAGCAGCCGCGGUAAGACAUAUGUGGCGAGCGUUGUUCGGAAUUACUGGGCUUAAAGCGCGCGUAGGCGGUUCAGUCAGUUAAUUUGUGAAAUCCCCCGGCUUAACCGGGGAAUCGCGGUUAAUACUGCUGAACUCGAGUACAAGAAGGGAGAGUGGAAUUCUGGGUGUAGCGGUGGAAUGCGAAGAUAUCCAGGAGAAGGCCGGUGGCGAAAAGCGACUCUCUGGCUUGAUACUGACGCUGAGGUGCGAAAGCGUAGGUAGCGAACGGGAUUAGAUACCCCGGUAGUCUACGCUGUAAAUGAUGGGCACUGGAUGGUGGAGGCGCUGAUAGCUUUCUCCGUCGAAGCAAAUGCGUUAAAGUGCACCGCCUGGGGAGUACGGUCGCAAGAUUAAAACUCAAAGGAAUUGACGGGGGCCCACACAAGCGGUGGAGGAUGCGGCUUAAUUCGAGGACACGCGUAAAACCUUACCGAGGUUUGACAUGUAGGGAUUAAUCCGGUGAAAGCCGGAGGAUUGCCUUACGGUGUAACCUACACAGGUGCUGCAUGGCUGUCGACAGUUCGUGUCGUGAGAUGUUAGGUUAAGUCCUGAAACGAGCGAAACCCCUGUGCUUAAUUGCCAGCGCGUUAUGGCGGGGACAUUAGGCAGACUGCCUCGGCUAACGGGGAGGAAGGUGGGGACGACGUCAAGUCAGCAUGGCCCUUAUACCUCGGGCUGCACGCGUCCUACAAUGGGCAGUACAAACAGGACCGAUCCCGCGAGGGGGAGGAAAUCUCUAAAGCUGCUCUCAGUUCGGAUUGCAGGCUGAAACCCGCCUGCAUGAAGGUGGAAUCGCUAGUAAUCGCCGGUCAGCUAUACGGCGGUGAAUCCGUCCCUGGGCCUUGUACACACCGCCCGUCAAGCCACCCGAGUUGGGCGCACUCGAAGUCCGAGACUCAACCGUUUACGGAGAGA